UCCCUGGUGGCUCAGAGGUUAAAGCGUCUGCCUGCAACGCGGGAGACCCAGGUUUGAUCCCUGUGUUGGGAA
RNAcentral lists this transfer RNA (72 nucleotides) under Bos indicus x Bos taurus (hybrid cattle). It matches the Rfam family "tRNA". From Rfam's summary of the family: Transfer RNA (tRNA) molecules are approximately 80 nucleotides in length. Their secondary structure includes four short double-helical elements and three loops (D, anti-codon, and T loops). Further hydrogen bonds mediate the characteristic L-shaped molecular structure. tRNAs have two regions of fundamental functional importance: the anti-codon, which is responsible for specific mRNA codon recognition, and the 3' end, to which the tRNAs corresponding amino acid is attached (by aminoacyl-tRNA synthetases). tRNAs cope with the degeneracy of the genetic code in two manners: having more than one tRNA (with a specific anti-codon) for a particular amino acid; and 'wobble' base-pairing, i.e. permitting non-standard base-pairing at the 3rd anti-codon position. The record is from Rfam by way of RNAcentral. Lineage: Eukaryota; Metazoa; Chordata; Mammalia; Artiodactyla; Bovidae.